This 233-nucleotide unclassified non-coding RNA is filed under the name Hevea brasiliensis (rubber tree). Lineage: Eukaryota; Viridiplantae; Streptophyta; Magnoliopsida; Malpighiales; Euphorbiaceae. The record is from RNAcentral.
UAUCAUCUGAUACGGUCUUCAGCUGCGAAAUUGCAAGCAAUCAAAGCAUUUGAUGAGGUCUCAAAAGCACCCAACAAUGAUUUAGAAGCUAGUCAGGAAACUCACCUUCUCAAGGGAGAAGAUCAGNGGAGCAUGUUGCAAUAGCUGUGGCAUCAAUCAAGUCCAUUGAUGAUGAUAAAGAGAGCCAAGCUAUUGUUUCGCAAGCGUCACACCAUGAACAUGGAAAAGAGGCG